UACGUAGGGUGCAAGCGUUAAUCGGAAUUACUGGGCGUAAAGCGUGCGCAGGCGGUGAUGUAAGACAGGUGUGAAAUCCCCGGGCUUAACCUGGGAACUGCAUUUGUGACUGCAUCGCUGGAGUGCGGCAGAGGGGGAUGGAAUUCCGCGUGUAGCAGUGAAAUGCGUAGAGAUGUGGAGGAACACCGAUGGCGAAGGCAGCCCCCUGGGCCAACACUGACGCUCAGGCACGAAAGCGUGGGGAGCAAACAGG
This 253-nucleotide ribosomal RNA is filed under the name uncultured bacterium. Its description in RNAcentral is "partial 16S ribosomal RNA". It matches the Rfam family "Bacterial small subunit ribosomal RNA", at positions 524 to 776 of the family's 1533-position model. The record is from RNAcentral.